GCCGGAGUGGUCGACUGGGAUCAUACCCUGGCUUUAUGGCGGCCAACCGGGCCGGAUAAUCUCCGGCCCGCGGCU
RNAcentral lists this transfer RNA (75 nucleotides) under Klebsiella ornithinolytica. RNAcentral's name for it is "Raoultella ornithinolytica tRNA-His(atg)". Lineage: Bacteria; Pseudomonadati; Pseudomonadota; Gammaproteobacteria; Enterobacterales; Enterobacteriaceae. The record is from RNAcentral.